AAUCAACGCUGGCGGCGUGCCUCAGACAUGCAAGUCGAACGCGAAAGUCCCCUUCGGGGGAUGACUAGAGUGGCGCACGGGUGAGUAACACGUAGGUAAUCUACCUUCGAGUGGGGAAUAACUCAGGGAAACUUGAGCUAAUACCGCAUAAUGCAGCGGCACCACAUGGUGACAGUUGUUAAAGCAUUUAUGCGCUUGAAGAGGAGCCUGCGGCGGAUAGCUAGUUGGUAAGGUAAUGGCUUACCAAGGCUACGAUCUGUAACCGGCCUGAGAGGGCGGACGGUCACACUGACACUGAAUAACGGGUCAGACUCCUACGGGAGGCAGCAGUCGGGAAUUUUGGGCAAUGGGCGAAAGCCUGACCCAGCAACGCCGCGUGAAGGAUG
RNAcentral lists this ribosomal RNA (386 nucleotides) under uncultured bacterium. RNAcentral's name for it is "bacterial SSU rRNA". It matches the Rfam family "Bacterial small subunit ribosomal RNA", at positions 32 to 410 of the family's 1533-position model. The record is from RNAcentral.